Molecule: ribosomal RNA, 463 nt
Filed under: uncultured bacterium
Lineage: Bacteria
Description: bacterial SSU rRNA
Rfam family: Bacterial small subunit ribosomal RNA
Source: RNAcentral
GCCAGACUCCUACGGGCGGCAGCAGUGGGGCCUCUUGCACAAUGGGCUCCCGCCUGAUGCCGCGCCGCCGCGUGCGGGCUGGAGGCCUUCGGGUUGUAAACCGCUUUUGUUCAAGGGCCAGGCACGGUCUUUGGCCGUGUUGAGUGGCUUGUUCGACUCAGCCCCGGCUACCUCCGUGCCAGCAGCCGCGGUAAUACGUCGGGUGCAAGCGUUCUCCGGAUUUAUUGGGCGUCAAGGGCUCGUAGGCGGUUCGGCGCGGCCGGUGUGAAAGUCCAUCGCUGAACGGGGGGUCCGCGCCGGGGACGGGCGGGCUUGAGGGCGGUAGGGGAGACGGGAAUUCCCGGGGGAACGGUGGAAGGGGGAGAUAUCGGGAAGAACACCAAUGGCGAAGGCAGGUCUCGGGGACGUUACUGACGCGGAGGAGCGACAGCGGGGGGAGCGAACAGGAGGAGAGACCCGAGUA